Long non-coding RNA from Choloepus didactylus (southern two-toed sloth), 847 nucleotides. RefSeq lists it as uncharacterized. The record is from RefSeq and is a predicted model, not a curated record. The transcript is spliced from 2 exons. Lineage: Eukaryota; Metazoa; Chordata; Mammalia; Pilosa; Megalonychidae.
CUGUGAUCAGAGGCCUGCAGGAACCUACCAUAUUUUCCCUAGAAGCAAGCGUUCAAUAUUCACUAAUUCAGUGUUCAUGGGGACUUUAUGGAACAUCUCUACUAGGCACUGGGAGGCAGAUUCAUCAUGAAGCUAAUGAAGCGCAAGCAUCAGGGCACUGCACCUAAACAGACCCAUUCUGAGGCUCUGGGAAGGACCCCAGCAAUGGUUCACCUGGUUACAUAUUUUUGUAAAUUUUGUAAAAGGAGACCAUUUAAACCAAAUCACUUAAAACUGCUAUCUCUUUCUACUCUUUCUCACCAUCACACUUCCCAUGUCCACUCCUCUGGCCACAGACAUCUUGGAGAUCCAGCUAAGGAUAAGAUAGGUUGAAGAUGCAUUUAAUUUUUAUUUAGUGGAUUCAUUUAUGUGAUUUGCAGUCACUUUUGCAAAUGUUACGGUAUUGCUAGUUGUAGUAAGGUCAAUGGAGGCACCAAAAGAUAUGUCCACCCAGCAUCUGUGAAUGUGACUUUAUUUGGAAAAAGGCUCUUUGCAGAUGUAAUUGAGUUAAGGAUCUCAAGAUGGGAUCAUUCUGGAUUAGGGUGAUCCCAAAUUCCAACGACAAGUGUCCUUUUAAGAGAAGGUGAAUGGACAUGGAAUGGAGAGCACCAUGUGAAGAUGCCGAGGUUGGAGUGACUCAUAUACAAACCAAGGAACCCCAAGGACUGUUGGCAGCCACCACAAGCAAGGAGCAGGGCGAGGACCAGAUUUGCCCGCAGAGUCUCCAAAAAGGAACUAAUCCUGCCAACACCUUGGUGUCACACUUCCAGCCUCCAAAACUCUGGGGAAUAAAUAUAUGUUGUUUUAA